RNAcentral lists this ribosomal RNA (192 nucleotides) under Triticum aestivum (bread wheat). RNAcentral describes it as "partial small subunit ribosomal RNA". Lineage: Eukaryota; Viridiplantae; Streptophyta; Magnoliopsida; Poales; Poaceae. The record is from RNAcentral.
AUGCAACAAGCACUCUACGUGUUCUUCCAACUGCUCGUUUGGAAGCUUUCGCAGAAAAGGAACAUUUCGGUCAAUGAGGAGCUGCAAAAUGGGAGAUGGAUGAUUGGGUUGCUUCGGAUGAACACGCAAGACGAGCUCCAUCAGUUCCUGGGGCUAUGGGAGCAGCUUCAAAAUGUUCAGUUGCAAGACUGA